Molecule: ribosomal RNA, 164 nt
Filed under: Gynoxys longifolia
Lineage: Eukaryota; Viridiplantae; Streptophyta; Magnoliopsida; Asterales; Asteraceae
Also listed under: 1 other name
Rfam family: 5.8S ribosomal RNA
About the family: 5.8S ribosomal RNA (5.8S rRNA) is a component of the large subunit of the eukaryotic ribosome.
Source: RNAcentral
CAAACGACUCUCGGCAACGGAUAUCUUGGCUCACGCAUCGAUGAAGAACGUAGCAAAAUGCGAUACUUGGUGUGAAUUGCAGAAUCCCGUGAACCAUCGAGUUUUUGAACGCAAGUUGCGCCCAAAGCCUUUUGGCCGAGGGCACGUCUGCCUGGGCGUCACAC